Molecule: ribosomal RNA, 253 nt
Filed under: uncultured bacterium
Lineage: Bacteria
Description: partial 16S ribosomal RNA
Rfam family: Bacterial small subunit ribosomal RNA
Source: RNAcentral
UACGGGGGAUGCAAGCGUUAUCCGGAUUUACUGGGUGUAAAGGGAGCGUAGACGGCAGUGCAAGUCUGAAGUGAAAGGCGGGGGCCCAACCCCCGGACUGCUUUGGAAACUGUGCUGCUGGAGUGCAGGAGAGGCAAGUGGAAUUCCUAGUGUAGCGGUGAAAUGCGUAGAUAUUAGGAGGAAUACCAGUGGCGAAGGCGGCUUGCUGGACUGUAACUGACGUUGAGGCUCGAAAGCGUGGGGAGCAAACAGG